This 969-nucleotide unclassified non-coding RNA is filed under the name Hevea brasiliensis (rubber tree). The record is from RNAcentral. Lineage: Eukaryota; Viridiplantae; Streptophyta; Magnoliopsida; Malpighiales; Euphorbiaceae.
GUUGAUUUAAGUAUUCGUAUUAAGUUUAUAAAUCUUAAUCCAUUUAUAACAUGGGUAUAGUGUUAAUUUGGCAGCCCUACAUAUUGAAUGCUUGUAAAGAUAGAAAUUUCAAAGUGAGAAGUAGUCGGCAGAUAGGGCUUCAAGGGACAAAAAGAUAAUUUCAUUAAUUAUGUAAGGGCAAUUUUAGAAUAAAAAUGAGUGAAACCAUGCUUACCCACCAAUUUGGUGGUUUCAAAAACUUAGCAAAUCUCAUAGUUUUUAAACCAUGGAAAAAACAUCCCAAACACAAACAUACCCUACAUUAAUAAACCAUGGCUUCCCAUGAUCCAAUCAGGGGGUUAAGAGUUCACACAGUUUUUUCCCAAUUGAUAAUCUUCCCUAAAAGUUCAUAAUCUGGCUUAACCUUAUAUGCGUGCAAAAAGCCUCAAUUCUUUAACGAAUCCCGAAACAUACUGGUUGCCUGACGGCUUAUAGUAUUCAUGGCACAACCUCUCCAAACAGAGAUCUGGGUGAUAAGUGAGAACCUUACUUAAAAGCUAUCUAAGGUUAAAGGCCCCACUAGAACAACAAAACUUUGGAAACUCAGACAACUGUCUACAUCACUAAUUCAACGAGUUGAAAGAAGCAAAUAAGAGUUCCAUUUUCAUUGAAAUAUUAGAUUACACUACAGUAAUGGGUUUCAAACUUUCAUAUUUUUUUUUAGUUUUUGGGAAAAAAAACCUUUUUUUUUUAAGGUACUUAAAGAGAAAAAUUUGUUACCCACCAACUUGGUGUUUGAAAAAUGAAGGUUUUUGGAGGUUUUUAAAAACUUUCAAAAAUCAUAUUUUAAAAAACCUUCUAUCCUCUCAAACAAAACUUUAAAGUUUUUAAACCUCUAAAAACCUUCAAUUACCUUAAAAAACCCCUUCCCAAAUAAAGGGUGAUCGUCAAGUUUUCUUAAAUCAAGAUAUUCAUUUCUUCUACAGUUGC